Long non-coding RNA from Polypterus senegalus (gray bichir), 5950 nucleotides. RefSeq lists it as uncharacterized. The record is from RefSeq and is a predicted model, not a curated record. The transcript is spliced from 3 exons. Lineage: Eukaryota; Metazoa; Chordata; Cladistia; Polypteriformes; Polypteridae.
ACCGGCAUCGGACCUUUUGUCAGUCGUGUGCAAGGAAAAUGGUCGGCUGAUCUUAGCCUUGAUGCUAAACUGGGUGGCUGAUCAUCUUUAUGAUCCGAGACGGACCUUUGGGAGCCUGUAAGGUGUCAUAAAAGCACGUGAGAAAUUGCUUGAAUCUCGAUUAACGACGGCCUCACCGACAAAGAGCACCAAAAAGUCAACAAGACGCAUUUCAACUACCCUAAUAGGAACUGUGACGACGACCCGGCAGACUACAGAUAUUGGGCAAUCAGUUGGUAGCAUUUCCAAAGGAAAGAAAACAGAGAAAGCAACAGCGAAGUCUGGGAAGCAAACCAUUCAUUCACAUGAUAAAUCAUUUAAUCGAGAAAUGGUUGAUGUGUGCUAUUAGAAUUAUUAAUUCAUUUAGCAACAGACAUAAAGGUCUACAGUUUUUAUCAAACUUUAUCGAGGAGAUAUUAUGUCCUCAUAGUGAUAUUUUAAAAAAAUAUCUUCUGACGUCUAUUUGGGCCAUUUAUGACUCUGACCACAUUCCAGCACAGGAACUUCAGACAGCUUUCCAAAGAUUGUAUAGGCUGGAAAGCUUGAUCUUAAAAGAUUGUACAAGUCUGGGUGCCGGUUCAGGUACAAAAUCUAUAUGACUAUAAGGCAUUAUAAAAUGAAACCUCAUAACACGCUUUUAAAUACCAUCAGAAAGAUUAAAAAGAAAUACAAACUUUUGGCUGAUAAGCGAAAAAGGCGACUGCAGUGUUGCCGUAUACCCAGAAUUCAUCGGGCGAAAGAUCAAACAGACGUGUCUCAGAUGCUGCAAAGUAAUACUGAGAUAAUUACAGAUUCCUCUCUGCGGUUUGUAGUAACCAUUGUGAAAUAAACGCAGGGUGGAACAAGACUUAGAAUCAACACAUUGCUCUUCAGUAAAAUUAUUAACACUAAACGACAUCUAUUAGUGGAUUUCUCACUAAUUUGUGUAAUUUAUGUUUUGCAGGCGCUGUCAUCCGCUUACUCAGUCAGAAAGACAGACCGGAUAGUGACAUUCUGCAGAAAGCUAGACAAAUGCAUAUGCAAUUGGGGUUUUCGGAAGAUAAGAAAAUAUCAUUAUCAGAUCAGAUCAGAUCAUUAUCAGAUGUAGAAAAUUUUGAGCGUCUAUUAAAUGUUUCUAUAAAGGUGCUAUACAUGCAUGAGAGUGCAUGGAAAUACUUCACAACGGGUCCUACGCCGACCGAUAAUAAAGUGAUUUUUCUUCUGUUACACAGCGAUCACUUUUUUGGGAUUUUAGAUGUGAAGAAAUUUAUCGGGGCUAAUUAUUUUUGUGAAAUUUGUCAUGCCGCAUAUUCUCACAAAGAUCGCCAUGUUUGUGCCAAUACUUGCAGGGCCUGCCUCGAUGCUUCUUGCAUUGAAGUAACAGGCUGCUUAAUGAGAUGUCCGAUAUGCAAAUCAUCUGUCAAUCAAACGAGUGCCUCGGUAAACACCAAAAUAAAUAAACAUGCCAGUCGAGAGAAUAUUGCGUUAGUUGUCAGUGCUACACGACCCUUAUCCACAUUUGUAAACCGAGGUUAUGUCCAAAUUGUAAAGAAGCUAUCACCAGCUGCGACAGUCACUUAUGUUAUAUGCAACCGUUAUUAAAGACUCCGCUAUCAAAAAAAUAUAUAUUUUAUGAUUUCGAAUGCAAGCAAGAAAACGGAAUCCAGAACCGAAUUACAUAUACGCUUUACACAUGGAUGGUAACAGAAGCUGGGAGUUUGCCGGAAACGAUUGUGUUGAAAGAUUAAUCUCUACGUUUAUAGAUAAAAAGUUUAAGAAUUACACUUUUAUUGCACACAACGCAAAAUCCUAUGACAGUUAUUUUGUAAUUAGUCAAUUAAUAAAAGAAAAAAUGAAAAUGGAUUUGUUAACGAUCGGUGGAAAAAUCAUGUCGAUAUCAGUGAAAGUUUUAAACAUCAGAUUCAUAGACUCUUUGAACUUUCUAGCAUCAAAAUUGUGUAAAUUACAGCAGGCUUUGAGUUUUAAAGGGUCGAAAGGUUAUUUUCCUCAUUUUUUUAACACUGCAGAAAACCAAAAUUAUGUCGGGCCUAGACCGGCUGUAGAAUUUUAUGGUGUAGAAAGUAUGAUGCCAGACGAGAAGAAAGAUUUUCUUUUAUGGUAUUCUAAACACAAGAAUGACGUAUUUGAUUUUCAAAAGGAAUUAAAAAUGUACUGCCGUUUAGAUGUUGAAAUUCUAAGGUCGGCGUGUAUCUUGUUCGGGCACGAGGUUAUGGAGAUCACCAAAACGACACGUAUUGAUUUAAACGAGCAGUUUCAGGCCAAAUACAACAUAUUAUCUAUUGAUCCUUUUCAAUAUGUUACUCUAGCGAGCGUCUGUAUGGCAAUGUUUAGACUUCAAUGUUUGCGUGAUUGCCAUUACAAGACAGUUAUCACAGAAAACAAAAGAGAUACUCUAAAUUCGUAUUGGAAAAUAUUAUCUAGACGGGUAUGCAGAAAAUAAUGGUAUAAAGAUGGCUUUUGAAUUGAACGGAUGCUUUUACAUGGUUGUUAUAUCUGUUAAAGGUAAAAAAUCAGGGAAUAGUGUUACAAACACGACAUUCGGUUGGCUUUAUUCAAAAACUAUGGAAAAAGUUAACUACUUAAAAAUGCAGGGGUUUCAGGUGCAUCAAAUCUGGGAACAUAAUUGGCGGCGUCUGGUUCGUGAAAACAUCCGUGUGCAGAAUUUCCUGAAAACCGCGCGACUGCCUCAGAUUUUGAAUCCCAGGGAAUCUCUUUGGCGAUCGAACAAAUGCAGCACGUUUAUACUACUAAGGUGGGCGCUGGUGAAAUAAUCCAUUACUAUGAUUUUACGAGUUUAUAUCCUUAUGUGAAUAAAACCAAAAGAUAUCCAAUCGGUCAUCCAAAAAUUAUUUAUAAGGAUUUUGAACCAUUAGAAACGUAUUUCGGAUUAGCCUCGGUGAGGGUGUACCCACCCAGAAAUCUUCUAUUCCCUGUUUUGCAGAAUAAACAGCAGACACCCUGCACACACACUCACGAGGAGAGAGCUCUUACCGGCUGAUGGACAACACCGGAAUUGCAUGCAGCCUUUCAGCUGGGAUACAAAACUGAAAGCAUGUACAGUAUGAGAUAUGCUCUACUGAACUUUUAUCAGAGUAUAUUAAUGCCCAUUUAAAAGCUAAGCAGGAAUCUUCGGGUUAUCCUGAGAGCUGUCUAAACACAGAACAGCGUACACAGUAUGUAUCCAUGUUUUAUGAAAAGGAAGGUGUACAAUUCAGCGAGCACCUUAUUAAAAAAAAUCCGGCCAGAAGACAAAUUGCAAAACUUUUUUUAAAUUCCUUAUGGGGUCAGUUUGCACAAAGACCUAAUUUGCCACAUACAUCUUUAGUUACAGAUCCAGAACAACUGUUUGAAUUAUUGUUUGCCCCAAAUUAUGAGGUAUCUACUUGUGAUUUUAUUGAUGAUGAAUGUGUGUACCGCUCUCAGAACCGGCACGAUUAUAAUACACGCUGCAUUAUUUGAGAGGCAGCAAAAAGAAAAGAAAACAAAUAAUCCGGGGCGCGAGUGAUCAACACUACUUUCCUACUUCACCGCUUCAAUUAUAGAGACACACCAGAGAAAGCAGGAUCAAGCACAACUGAUUAUUGGCAGACAAUAUAUAGGAUCACUGUAACAACAAAACACCUAAUAAUAUCGCGCUGCAGCGCUUUCCUUCACCACACAAAUCAUAACACCAACACUUGAAAACAUACAUUACUAAUAAAGACUUGAACAAAUGGAAACACAACAAAAAACCAAUGGAUUUAUAGUCUUUAAAAUCGUAUCUGUACGAGCGUUGAUCUCAGUCUGUAGUGGUGAAUGAGACGCCGACCAUAUCUCUUGUUCUGGGAAACGUUCUGAUUAACAGUUCCUUGUGCUGGCCCGUCAAGUCCUCUCCCGUAUUUCUUCCUCCCGAAAGAAAAAAUAAUUUGCUUGGAAAUGAACCCGGGUUCACCUGACGAUAUCCAAGAGGUGUUAAUCCUUUCCCUCGUGCCUUUUUCUGUUAUGGCCUCCUUCUCUCUCCUAGCUCCUCCUCUUCCCUUUUUUCCCGCCACCUAUUUACAUUCGGAUAGCUCCUCCCCGUACAGUCUGUUGGCCCUCCAAGCCAGGUGCUCCCCUCCCUCUGUAUAAAGGGCCGGCCCUAAACAUAAAGGCAUAUCAUAAAACCAGGUAUGGGAAAAGGUACAAACUUACAGGUACAUAUCCAUAUUUCAUGUGCCUGUGUGACUUGGACAUACGAUAAAGAUCGUUACAGCACACCGGCCACUGUAAACAUUUUUAUUGCUAGUUUUACUACAGCUUAUGCAAGAUUAGAGUUGUAUAAUCUUUUAAACAAACUGAACGAAAGAAUACUAUACUAUGACACGGAUUCAGUUCUUUAUAUUUCCAGAGCAAACGAAUGGGACCCUGAAAUUGGAUGCUAUAUCGGGGACUUGACGAACGAGGUACCAGCGAAUGAAUACCUCACUGAAUUUAUAAGAACUGGUCCAAAAAGUUCUGGCUAUAAACUAUCCAACGGUGAAACCUGUCUAAAAGUUAAAGGUAUAACAUUAAAUGUUAAGAACAUUAAGAUAAGGUGAAUUUUCAAAGCUUAAAAGAACUGCUAUUUGACUACGCAGAAAAUAAAAAACUGUCUUCAGAACAUAAAAAUAUCAAAGUUGAAGAUAUUGGUGUUGUCAGGGUAAAACGCAGCUGGCAUAGAAACCAGAAAAAUUAAAAAAAAACACAAAAAGUUGUAUAUGACAAGCGCGUAUUAACUAUAAAUUUCACGUCGUUACCUUUUGGCUAUUGAUUCUGAGAUAAAUACAUAAUCAGUAAUGGACGUUCGUUUACAACACCCAUUUUCUUGUAUCUUAAGGGGGCCGAGUAACUGUGGAAAAUCUUAUUUUGUGAAAACAUUACUAGAAUCGGGGACUAAAACGAUGUCUCACCAACCACAGAAUAUCCUGUAUUGUUAUUCCGUUUGUCAACCUCUCUAUACAGAAUUGAUGAAAAAAUUCAGACAUAUAAAUUUAUAGAAGGUCUCCCUGACUCCCUAAAUGAUGAUGUGUUGUUGCCCCGUAAUAAAAUAAACUUAGUUGUUGUGGAUGAUCUCAUGCAAUCGGCCUGUAAAAGUAAUGAGUUGGAAUUGGGAUUCACAAAGUAUGUUCAUCAUAGAAAUCUGAGCGUAAUCUAUAUUGUUCAGAAUCUUUUUUGCCAGGGAAAACAGAACCGAACAAUUACUUUAAAUGCUAAAUACAUUGUUUUGUUUAAGAAUCCGAGAGACAGACAACAGAUCUCAAUAUUGGCCAGUCAGAUGUACCCCACAAGGUGGCGCUACUUUCUCGAGGCUUAUGAGGAUGCCACUGAGUCAGCCUUUGUCUUUCUACUGGUCGAUUUAAAUACUAACACUAGAGAUGACUUUCGUCUCAGAACAUCCACAUACCCAUCGCAGCGCCCAGUAGCUUAACGUGUUUAAAAAGCCCAAGGGUAAAAAAAUGUGAUUUUAGCAUCCCCGGUGUCAUUUGGUAAAAGACGUCAUCCUGAUCAACAUGUCGUCCAGGAUUAAACGAAAUUUACAGCUCAUGCGAUUGCUUAUAAAGGCAAAACCAAAACAGAGAAAGUCCAUUUGUGUGCAGCUUCUGACGAUUUAAUUCUGGCUAUUUGUGAAAUUGCACUCAAUGCAAUUAAGGGUAGCUUACCUUUAAAUUCCAGACGGAUUGGCAUUCUUAAAAGAAACGCAUGGUUAUGAAAAAUCUGAGCAAUAAAAAAGUUACUAUUAAACGAAAGAAACGUAUUAUAAAUCAGUCUGGUGGAUUUAUCGGUGAACUACUCGGCAUAGCAAUCCCUUUACUCACCGGUCUAAUUUCGAAUCGGUAAAUGGAGCAGACUGAGAAAAUGUAUCUUGUACAAGAACAGCAACUGGGGCAAGUCCAAACACCUGUCGGUGGAGAAA